UACGUAGGGGGCGAGCGUUGUCCGGAAUUACUGGGCGUAAAGGGCGCGCAGGCGGCCGUGUAAGUCCGCGGUGAAAGCCCGGGGCUCAACCCCGGAAGGGCCGCGGGGACUGCAGGGCUGGGGGCUCGGAGAGGAGCGGGGAAUGCCGGGUGGAGCGGUGGAAUGCGUAGAGAUCCGGCGGAACACCGAUGGCGAAGGCACCGCUCUGGCCGAGACCCGACGCUGAGGCGCGAAAGCGGGGGGAGCGAACGGG
Molecule: ribosomal RNA, 253 nt
Filed under: uncultured bacterium
Lineage: Bacteria
Description: partial 16S ribosomal RNA
Rfam family: Bacterial small subunit ribosomal RNA
Source: RNAcentral